ACUAAGCUACAGCUAAUAAAUAAAAGGAAAGUCCAUAGAGUCCAAUUUCAAAUAAAUCUAUAGUCUUAUUGCUACAAGUAAAACAAUAUUCAAAUCAAUCAAUCACUUAUACAUCUAAAUUAAAGGAAAAACAACAGGAAACUCAUGCAGUAAUAAUCCAGGAUCACUAUUUAUUUUCAAACAUGUUGUUCCAGGCAUUACAUACUACUGGAGGCCAAGGAUAUACCUGGAAUAUGAGUCAAAUAAGAUGAAGGAAAAAGUUUAGUAGUAGUAACGAGUAGAGGGUCAAACAGCAGCCGAGAAACAAAUUCAACAGUCCGUGAAGAGUUUGAAAUCAAACGGGACAAGGAAAUCAACCAUAAACAGCUUGAAUAAACCCAACUGAACUUGAAAUUGAACCUACAAACCUUCAGCAAUCAAACCGUGAGCUUGGAGAUACAAUUCAAUUACUAAACUCAAAAUUAACCUAUGAAUUUCAAUGGAAUAGUGUUUUUGGAGUUUUUUGUCUUAUAUAUUUUUUUUGUUUUGAGGAACUAAGGAUCUUAUCGAAGGGAAGAAAUUUUCAGAUUGCUUGAAUUACAGUUUUUGGAUUUGUUUUUUUUUUAAUUUCAAAUAUUAAGAGGUUUGAACUUGUGGAAUCUUUUGGGGGAAAUUUUCACAUUCAAACAUCAGUAUGAAGGCACUAAGCAUGACUU
This 695-nucleotide long non-coding RNA is filed under the name Nicotiana benthamiana. RNAcentral describes it as "long non-coding RNA (NBEN_LNC019902)". Lineage: Eukaryota; Viridiplantae; Streptophyta; Magnoliopsida; Solanales; Solanaceae. The record is from RNAcentral.